Molecule: ribosomal RNA, 333 nt
Filed under: uncultured Bacillota bacterium
Lineage: Bacteria; Bacillati; Bacillota
Description: bacterial SSU rRNA
Rfam family: Bacterial small subunit ribosomal RNA
Source: RNAcentral
GACGAACGCUGGCGGCGUGCCUAAUACAUGCAAGUCGAGCGGAACCUUUGGAGCUUGCUCCUUGGGUUUAGCGGCGGACGGGUGAGUAACACGUGGGCAACCUGCCCUGCAGAUCGGGAUAACUCCGGGAAACCGGUGCUAAUACCGAAUAGUUUGCGGCCUCUCAUGAGGCUGUACGGAAAGACGGUUUCGGCUGUCACUGCAGGAUGGGCCCGCGGCGCAUUAGCUAGUUGGUGAGGUAACGGCUCACCAAGGCCACGAUGCGUAGCCGACCUGAGAGGGUGAUCGGCCACACUGGGACUGAGACACGGCCCAGACUCCUACGGGUGGCAG